RNAcentral lists this transfer RNA (93 nucleotides) under Planctomycetaceae bacterium. RNAcentral's name for it is "tRNA-OTHER". It matches the Rfam family "tRNA". From Rfam's summary of the family: Transfer RNA (tRNA) molecules are approximately 80 nucleotides in length. Their secondary structure includes four short double-helical elements and three loops (D, anti-codon, and T loops). The record is from RNAcentral. Lineage: Bacteria; Pseudomonadati; Planctomycetota; Planctomycetia; Planctomycetales; Planctomycetaceae.
GGAUCGGUAGCUCAGUUGGUAGAGCACGAGACGCAACGCAAGGCCUGAACUCACCUCGCGACGCUGGCGCAGGUUCGACUCCUGCCCGAUUCC